RNAcentral lists this ribosomal RNA (497 nucleotides) under uncultured bacterium. RNAcentral describes it as "partial 16S ribosomal RNA". It matches the Rfam family "Bacterial small subunit ribosomal RNA", at positions 28 to 507 of the family's 1533-position model. The record is from RNAcentral.
GAUGAACGCUGGCGGCGUGCCUAAUACAUGCAAGUCGAGCGAACAGACGAGGAGCUUGCUCCUCUGACGUUAGCGGCGGACGGGUGAGUAACACGUGGAUAACCUACCUAUAAGACUGGGAUAACUUCGGGAAACCGGAGCUAAUACCGGAUAACAUGUUGAACCGCAUGGUUCAACAGUGAAAGACGGUCUUGCUGUCACUUAUAGAUGGAUCCGCGCCGCAUUAGCUAGUUGGUAAGGUAACGGCUUACCAAGGCAACGAUGCGUAGCCGACCUGAGAGGGUGAUCGGCCACACUGGAACUGAGACGCGGUCCAGACUCCUACGGGAGGCAGCAGUAGGGAAUCUUCCGCAAUGGGCGAAAGCCUGACGGAGCAACGCCGCGUGAGCGAAGAAGGUCUUCGGAUCGUAAAACUCUGUUAUUAGGGAAGAACAAAUGUGUAAGUAACUAUGCACGUCUUGAUGGUACCUAAUCAGAAAGCCACGGCUAACUACGUG